Molecule: non-coding RNA, 609 nt
Organism: Coturnix japonica (Japanese quail)
Lineage: Eukaryota; Metazoa; Chordata; Aves; Galliformes; Phasianidae
Source: RefSeq, a predicted model, not a curated record
CACGGUCAUGAUUUGGUAACGGCAGCACUGGUACGGAGCAGAAAACCCCGUCCCUCUCACAGGAGCAAUGGGUUGUAGGAGGAGAAAUGUGAAAUGAUGGCAAGUAUUCUCUGCUUCUGCCCUUUGAUACGGCUCCUGGUUGCUUGGAAACUGCUGAAACCCCUGUGCCCUGCAGCAUCACCCACCGAGAGCUGGGAAAGCACCACCGUUCUGCCCGCCUUCCUCUCCCCUCCCAUUGGGAUGGCACUCUGGCACCCAGCGGCAGCACAGGGCCAUAACACUGGCUGAGGCAAGACAGCCAAAUGAUGAGGUUAAGACUAAAAAGCAACUUCCCUUCCAACUCUGCUUUAAAGCCACCGGCCAGGAGGAGUGGAGUCCUUUGGUGCCUCUCACAGCACUGUGCACACCAGGCUGCCCACUUGCAAACGUGAUUCACCAAGGAACUGAUUUACACAUCUCUUCCAGGAGGCUGCAUACCCAGUUGGAAAUGACUGCUGAUGCCAGAGCUAUGCACAUUGUGAUGAGGAUGUGCCCCAGCACUGUUUCCCAACGCUUAACUCUCUCUCCUGGAGGGGACCCUGCACCUCAACACAAGCAGAUUCUGCUCAG